GUGUUAAAACACCACUCCUCGUACUGUCACCGAAGUUAAGCAACGUCGAGCCUGGUCAGUACCUAGAUUGGUGACGGCUUGGGAAUAUCACGUGCU
Acanthosepion pharaonis is the source of this 96-nucleotide non-coding RNA. The record is from the annotation of a GenBank genome assembly. Lineage: Eukaryota; Metazoa; Mollusca; Cephalopoda; Sepiida; Sepiidae.